UGAGGAAUAUUGGUCAAUGGGCGCAAGCCUGAACCAGCCAUCCCGCGUGCAGGAAGACGGCCCUAUGGGUUGUAAACUGCUUUUCCAGGGAGAGAAACCUGCGCACGUGUUGCGCAAUUGACGGUACCCAGGGAAUAAGCAUCGGCUAACUCCGUGCCAGCAGCCGCGGUAAUACGGAGGAUGCAAGCGUUAUCCGGAUUCAUUGGGUUUAAAGGGUGCGUAGGCGGACUAUUAAGUCAGUGGCGAAAGCCUGCAGCUUAACUGCAGAACUGCCAUUGAUACUGAUAGUCUUGAGUUUGGUUAAGGUAGGCGGAAUGUGUAAUGUAGCGGUGAAAUGCUUAGAUAUUACACAGAACACCAAUUGCGUAGGCAGCUUACUGAGCCGACACUGACGCUGAGGCACGAAAGCGUGGGGAUCGAACAGG
Molecule: ribosomal RNA, 425 nt
Filed under: uncultured bacterium
Lineage: Bacteria
Description: bacterial SSU rRNA
Rfam family: Bacterial small subunit ribosomal RNA
Source: RNAcentral